RNAcentral lists this long non-coding RNA (623 nucleotides) under Rattus norvegicus (Norway rat). RNAcentral describes it as "long non-coding RNA NONRATT011596". The record is from RNAcentral. Lineage: Eukaryota; Metazoa; Chordata; Mammalia; Rodentia; Muridae.
GGGUUUGGGGCCUUAGUCAUCUCGUAGUGAUCACGGGCUCCCUCGGCGUCUCCUGUCAGCCCCAGACCUCACCCCUAAACUUUGGACAUUUUCCCCUACGGUGUACCUAACCCCACUCCAACAAUCCCCAGACCCACCACAGUCCUUCCCCCAUUCCGCGGAAGCCACCGGCCGAGAGCCGAGGGCUCCUUUUGCACUGGUGCGGCGAGCGCGGGGUGCAGAGGUAACCCCGCAGUGCUGGGCGUGGGGUUCCCCGAAACGCCGGGCAGACUGCCUGGGAGUGGCCCAGAGCCGGGAGCCGAGGGCUGGGGAGCCUCCGCAGCAGGCCCGCCGCCCCCACACCCCGGAGGAGCGCCGUCCGCAGUGGGGCUGGUUUCCGAGGUCUCUGUGUUGGUUGGUUGAAACAAACAAAAAAAAAAAUGGCCUUCUACAGUUAUAAUUCAUUCUUAGCUAUUUUCUGGACAAGAUUGCCUGGCCAUUCCGUGCACCCUCCCUGCUCUCACUUCCCUCCACUUGCAUUUUUCCACUUGCCAGAUUCUCAUUUGCGUACAGCCUAUAUGAAAAACUGUGGAAGCAGGAAGUACUCCUACCCUGGGCUCACAGGCAACAAUAAAGUCCAUCCC